UAAGCGUGCGCAGGCGGUUUUGUAAGUCUGUCGUGAAAGCCCCGGGCUUAACCUGGGAAUUGCGAUGGAGACUGCAAGGCUUGAAUCUGGCAGAGGGGGGUAGAAUUCCACGUGUAGCAGUGAAAUGCGUAGAGAUGUGGAGGAACACCGAUGGCGAAGGCAGCCCCCUGGGUCAAGAUUGACGCUCAUGCACGAAAGCGUGGGGAGCAAACAGGAUUAGAUACCCUAGU
Molecule: ribosomal RNA, 230 nt
Filed under: uncultured bacterium
Lineage: Bacteria
Description: partial 16S ribosomal RNA
Rfam family: Bacterial small subunit ribosomal RNA
Source: RNAcentral